CUGCGGAAGGAUCAUUACCGAAUUGUCAACACGAGUUGUUGCUGGUCCUCAAAUGGGGGCAUGUGCACGCUCUGUUUACACAUCCACUCACACCUGUGCACCCACCGUAGUUCUGUGGCCUGGGGGGCUCUGUCCCCUCUGCUGCGGUUCUAUGUCUUUACAUACACACUGUAAUAAAGUUUCAUGGAAUGCAUCAUGCGUUUAACGCAAUACAAUACAACUUUCAGCAACGGAUCUCUUGGCUCUCGCAUCGAUGAAGAACGCAGCGAAAUGCGAUAAGUAAUGUGAAUUGCAGAAUUCAGUGAAUCAUCGAAUCUUUGAACGCACCUUGCGCCCUUUGGCUAUUCCAGAGGGCAUGCCUGUUUGAGUAUCAUGAACACCUCAACUCUCAUGGUUUUUCUGUGAUGAGUUUGGACUUUGGAGGUCUUGCUGGCCUGUGGUCAGCUCCUCUCAAAUGAAUCAGCUCCCCAGUGUUUGGUGGCGUCACAGGUGUGAUAACUAUCUACGCUUGCGGCUUCCACAAGGUAACCUUCAGUGAUGGAGGUUCGCUGGAGCUCAUAAAUGUCUCUCCUCAGCGAGGACAGCCUCUUGAAUGUUUGAUCUCAAAUCAGGUAGGGCUACCCGCUGAAC
This 630-nucleotide ribosomal RNA is filed under the name uncultured fungus. RNAcentral's name for it is "eukaryotic LSU rRNA". The stretch from base 219 to 373 matches the Rfam family "5.8S ribosomal RNA". The record is from RNAcentral. Lineage: Eukaryota; Fungi.